This is a long non-coding RNA of Saccostrea echinata, 1816 nucleotides long. RefSeq lists it as uncharacterized. The record is from RefSeq and is a predicted model, not a curated record. The transcript has 2 exons. Lineage: Eukaryota; Metazoa; Mollusca; Bivalvia; Ostreida; Ostreidae.
UGAUCUUUAUGCAUAUUAGCUAGUCGGCGCAUGCGCAUUCAUUGUCCAUUAUGUAAACAUCCACAAUAUUUUUACUGUCUGUAAAGGAGUGUUUAAUGUGCUUAUGCAAUAUCUAUAACGACUUUCCAUCGACCCCAUAAAGGUUAUAACAACGCCAAGGAUACGUAGUACAUAUUUCCAAAGGUGAAAGAAUUCCGAGCCUGCUUCCUACAUAUGGACAGCAGGCCAACUCCAGUUCCGGCAGCAUUAGUGACAAAUUGACCCAAACAGCUGACAUUUUAGUUUGAAAUUCUUUAUCACCGUCAACUCUAUCUGCUUUUUCAGCCUUUUCAACUUACAAAUGUUUCAUUGAACAGUGGUUUGGGAACCAAGCUUCUCCACUACCACCUUGAUUCCAACACCUAUCAGGGUUUAUUGCACAGUGCUAUCAGAAAGGAUUUGCCGCAUCCACAACUUCCACACUAAUUUCCUCAUUAAGUUUCAUCUUCCAGCUUGGAAACUGCACAGAUAUAACACAGCAUUUCAUCAUUCGUAAAAUGCUCCAAGGAUUCCGUAAAUCUAAACCGACAUCCGACCAUGGCUUCCAAUAACCCCAACAGUUUUGAGAAAACUUAUCCAUGCUUUGAAAUUUACCACUACAUCCGAUUUCACAAAAUCACUCUUACGUGCCAUGUUUACUCUAGCGUUUUGUGCCUUUUUACGAGUCUGAGAAAUAACCAAAACAAACAAUACAACUCAACAUUUCCUUCUUUUUGGAAAUGUGUCUAUAGGAUGCGACAGUCCACUUAACAGGUUCAUAGACAUAAAUAUACCUCACUUCAAACAUUCAAAGGCAAACACAACUACACUACACUUGCAACAAAAUACCGAGGACCCAUUAGUAUGCCCGUACCAAGCUCUACUGCAUUACCUCAAUCUCAAAAAGCAUUCUUCACAGUCAGAGCCUUUGUUCUCAUUUAUGGACGGUUUACCCAUCUCUCGUCACUACUUCACACAGCAGUUGCGUUCGGCCUUAGCUUUUUGUAACCUAGACUUACAAAAUUACAACACGCAUAGCUUUCGAAUUGGUGCUGCCACCACAGCUGCCUCACUUGGGUUCUUCAAAGUAUGGGCAGAUGGAACUCGUGUGCCUAUAAAAAGUACAUCAGAAUCCCAACACUAAAAUUUUAGGUGACUCAAGUGUUUCCAUUUGGAUUGUGAAGACAGGGGCUUCAUAUCCACUACAAUAGCAACCAUGUAGACAGGGGCUACUGCUUGGCUCUAAGUAGUUAAACAUUCUUGUAAGAACAUGUUCUGUAUUUUCUUUUGUUGUAUUGUUUCAUAUCAAUAGUAUUUUUCUGUGUGCUUAGCGAUAAAUAGCAUAUUUUGUACACAACCACUUAUUUUCCCUUUGUACAUAUGCAUUGUAUAUGAUGUUGAAUAUGAUAGCCUAUAGGAUAAAGCAGUUAGAGAACUGAUAGAUAUAGCCUACCUUCUUAAGGUGACAGAUGAACAACCCAUAUCACUGCUUUGUUUAGCACAUACUUUAUAUCUAGUCCUUCCAAUGGCCAAAACUUUUUUGCACAAUAUUUUUUCAUAGUCAGUACAUUUCCCAGGAUACAACUGGCUGAUAGUUUUGUAAUGUUUUUGUAUGUAUAUAUAUAUGUUUUUGAUUUAUUUUCAAUUAUUGGAGGAGUGUUGUAUUUUUUACCUGUCGCAACACAUCACAUGUUCUUGAUUAUGGUAUAAUAUUCUUUUGCAACGUUUUAUAUGGUAUUAUGUUUUCUGCAGCUCUUAUGCUUUGUGCUCCUAAAUAAAUGACCAUUUUCAUUCUUUA